This is a long non-coding RNA of Rhincodon typus (whale shark), 2060 nucleotides long. RefSeq lists it as uncharacterized. The record is from RefSeq and is a predicted model, not a curated record. Lineage: Eukaryota; Metazoa; Chordata; Chondrichthyes; Orectolobiformes; Rhincodontidae. The transcript has 2 exons.
CCUGAAACACUGGGCCUGAAACAUUAACUCUGCUUUCUCUCCACAGAUGCAGCCAAUCCUGCUGAAAUUCUUUAGCAAAUUUUGUUUCCAGUUUCCUAACUCUCUGAUUGAUUUGAACCAUUUUCCUAUUUGCCUUUUCCUCUACUACACAGAUGGCAGACGAUUGCUGCAUGGAUGUGAUUGGAAACUUUCUCGGUCCAGGUUCAAGAUUAGGAAUCUCUGUGCAGAACAGCAAAGACAUUCAUAUCUGGAACAUCAGUUCAGAUGGAGUCAUACUGAGUGGAAUAAUACCUGAUCUAGUUAUUGAUAUAAAAGGUGGUCAGCAUUACGACCAGAAUCAAACCAUUCUCAGCAGAUUUGAUGAGGUUCAACAAACACAAAGAUGGGACCUAGAAAUCCUUUGAUUCAUUCCUCGUGGAAACAGGAAAUCAAACACACAAGGCACUUUUGAAAGAUUGUGAACCUUUUCAUUUUACUAUCAGUAGUGCAAUAUUUCACUUUUAAGUGAACGCCAGACACAAAAAAUUGGAAUUCAUGGCAAGACUGGUGGGAAAGUCAUCUCCACUAAAUGUUUACUUCUAAGCAAGUACUGCUCACUCUAUGCAACGUAACCAAAUCUGAUGUAGUGUCUGAAGUCUUUAUCAUUUUUCAAGAUUAGUUCAUAUAUUGGCAGCAGGGACUGGUUGCUAUUGUUUCAGUAACAAAAUGAAACAUUCUCAUUCCUGGUGUAAACCUAUUUUGUUUUAAAAGAAACAGGUAUUUAUACUUGAUAAACACUGUGCUCACUCUAUGGUUUUAUUGAACAUCGGAAGGCUUGUUUAUUGUUUGGGUUUAAUGUCUUCUAUUAGUGACGCAGCAUAUUAGGAUUGUUUAAGUAUGUUUCUUCUCAAAAGCAAAACCAGACCAACACCACUUGUCUGGUGUAAUUGCUGUACGUAUCAAUCAAGUCAUAUCCAAUUCCCUUAAUUUCAAAGAAGUUAUUCACACAGUGGAGAAAAUAAGAUUGAAUAUCAAUAACAUUGAAUGCCAUAAUUAAUGUAAAUGGUAACAUCUACAUUUCAGAGUAUUAUAUAGCAUGUUAUUCUCAUCUUGAAGGUCAUAAGAUAAAAUGUUGGUGAACAGGUUACUGUUUUAUUGCACCAUGACAUCCUUGCAGAUAAGCUUAAAUACUUUAUGUAGCAAGCACUAUGCCACUGUCUCCUGGUUUGGUAAAAACAUGAAAGUAUUUAUAAGAAACAUUUAGUCAGAUGACAUGGACAUGAGACUCUCAUGAAAUUUACAGCAACUGUGCUCUCUAUUUUUAAAUCAAUUAACAGAAGUCAAUUCAUUUUAGUUUCUAAGGCAAUUUAAGAACUGUCCUUUGAAACAGUGUUGCUCCCAGUUGGAUUUCUUGAUUUCAAUUUAGAGUUUUAAAUUACUGCCAAUAUGUCUAGUGUUUGCAUUAGUAACAUAUUCUAUACAGUUACAACUUUUAGUAACACAAAGAUUUAAAAAUAAAACAUUCCAAAGAACUACCCAACAACAGGUCCUACUGAAAGUGAUGGUAGCAUGGUGGCUUUGGUGUUAUAUCACUUCUGCUUGUGCCACAUAUUGAGACAUGUUACUGGCAGGCCAGGAUUUGUUUUAUGUUAGAGAAUCAGUAGAUGUUUAUAAACUGCUGUUUUGUUUGAUAAUUGCAUCAAGGUUUGUAAUCUGUAUCAGUUGCAGCAAUUUGUAAUUUGAUAAUUUUUUAACCUUUUAAUUGAUCAUGUUAAGUAUACAGAACUUCUAUCAGAUGCUUUAUUGAUAGUUUGAGGUAAUGGGAAUAACUUGAGAACUGUAUCAGUGUGGUGGUAUAGUUUUACUCUGAGAUUUUAUGCUGUCUAAAUUUACCCCAAUUCCUUGUUUUCACCAGCUGAACUAUUGUUACACUAGUUCUUGACAACUGUUUUGAUGAAUGGUGGACUGUAUUUUAUUACCCCAUUUAUUACGGACAGCAGCUGCACUACUGUUUUCAUUUCAAGGUACUGAACCAUGUUUAUGUAACGACUUUAAAUAAAAUGUACAACGUUUUGAGUUAA